RNAcentral lists this ribosomal RNA (253 nucleotides) under uncultured bacterium. RNAcentral describes it as "partial 16S ribosomal RNA". It matches the Rfam family "Bacterial small subunit ribosomal RNA", at positions 524 to 776 of the family's 1533-position model. The record is from RNAcentral.
UACGUAGGGUGCAAGCGUUAAUCGGAAUUACUGGGCGUAAAGCGUGCGCAGGCGGUCCGUUAAGACAGAUGUGAAAUCCCCGGGCUCAACCUGGGAACUGCAUUUGUGACUGCACGGCUCGAGUGCGGCAGAGGGGGAUGGAAUUCCGCGUGUAGCAGUGAAAUGCGUAGAUAUGCGGAGGAACACCGAUGGCGAAGGCAAUCCCCUGGGCCUGCACUGACGCUCAUGCACGAAAGCGUGGGGAGCAAACAGG